This 225-nucleotide ribosomal RNA is filed under the name uncultured fungus. Its description in RNAcentral is "partial small subunit ribosomal RNA". The stretch from base 103 to 225 matches the Rfam family "Eukaryotic small subunit ribosomal RNA", at positions 742 to 864 of the family's 1831-position model. The record is from RNAcentral. Lineage: Eukaryota; Fungi.
CGCGUUGUACGGUUCGCGGGUCCACCGAAAGGUGCGUACUCGCCCGCAACGCGCUACCUUCCGGUCGACGGUGACACUCUUCACUGAGUGUCAUACGCCUCGUCUGGGACUUUUACCUUGAGAAAAUUAGAGUGUUCAAAGCAGUCGUUUUACGACCGAAUAGCUUAGCAUGGAAUAAUGGAAUAGGACUUUGGUUCUAUUUUGUUGGUUUCUAGGACCAGAGUA